UAACCAUUAAACACCCAAGCAUUUAUCAGGACCUUUGAUAUACAUUUAUGUAAUGAAUAUGAGAUUCAAACUACCCAAUCAUCAUCCUCUAUGUACACAUAUAACUAUGAUUCAAACUCUUCAUUCCACUCUAUAUAUACACGUGCGUUGACACCCUCCUUUGUUUGCAGUUUACAUACAGCUAUAACGAAUUCUAUCAACGUAUCAUCAAACCUCUAAUGGCUGAACAUGAUGUUGAAACCAUGUUGGUGUUGCAUUCCUUGAAAGCUCCAUUGGAUCCAAUUACGAUCAAAAUUGUCCGUGUGAAGGUUGAGUCCGUCAAACAAAAUUGAGAUUGAUUGCGUGUAAUUUGCAUUUGUGCAAUUUUGGUCCUGUUGGCAUUUUGCAUAUGUUCAAAUUGCAACUUCAUUCAAUGUUGCUGAAUUGUUUUUAUUUUGGUUGCAAGUACUUUUAGUUAUCAUAUAAUGCCUUUAUGUGAAUGGUAUUAUAAUCCAAACUAAAUAUUUUAUCAAUCCUCAUGAUUUCGUUUGUGUUAUAAUCGAUUUACAAUUGUUGCUACA
This is a long non-coding RNA of Medicago truncatula (barrel medic), 560 nucleotides long. RefSeq lists it as uncharacterized. The transcript has 2 exons. The record is from RefSeq and is a predicted model, not a curated record. Lineage: Eukaryota; Viridiplantae; Streptophyta; Magnoliopsida; Fabales; Fabaceae.